GACGGAGGGUGCUAGCGUUGUUCGGAAUCACUGGGCGUAAAGGGCGCGUAGGCGGCCGCCCGCGUCGGACGUGAAAGCCCGGGGCUCAACCCCGGAACGGCGUCCGAUACGGGGCGGCUCGAGGCCGGGAGAGGGGGGUGGAAUACCCAGUGUAGAGGUGAAAUUCGUAGAUAUUGGGUGGAACACCGGUGGCGAAAGCGGCCCCCUGGCCCGGUCCUGACGCUGAUGCGCGAAAGCGUGGGGAGCAAACAGG
This 253-nucleotide ribosomal RNA is filed under the name uncultured bacterium. RNAcentral's name for it is "partial 16S ribosomal RNA". It matches the Rfam family "Bacterial small subunit ribosomal RNA", at positions 524 to 776 of the family's 1533-position model. The record is from RNAcentral.